Molecule: microRNA precursor, 219 nt
Filed under: Medicago truncatula (barrel medic)
Lineage: Eukaryota; Viridiplantae; Streptophyta; Magnoliopsida; Fabales; Fabaceae
Description: MIR2655 microRNA precursor family
Rfam family: MIR2655 microRNA precursor family
Source: Rfam by way of RNAcentral
CCCUUAACUAUUAAAAGUUUCGUUUUGGCCUCUUAACUUAUUUUUUGGUUACGUUUUGGUCCCUUAACUUAUUUUUUUGUUUCAUUUUGGUCCCUUAACUCUAAUACAUUCAUCCUAACAUAAAGGACCAAAGUGGUUGACGGAGGAAGAGUUAAGGGACCAAAACGAAACCAAAAAGUAAGUUAAAGGACCAAAAUGAAACUUUUAAUAGUUAAGAGA